Molecule: ribosomal RNA, 549 nt
Filed under: uncultured bacterium
Lineage: Bacteria
Description: bacterial SSU rRNA
Rfam family: Bacterial small subunit ribosomal RNA
Source: RNAcentral
UGGGGAAUUUUGGACAAUGGGCGCAAGCCUGAUCCAGCCAUGCCGCGUGUCUGAAGAAGGCCUUCGGGUUGUAAAGGACUUUUGUCAGGGAAGAAAAGGCUGUUGCUAAUAUCAGCGGCUGAUGACGGUACCUGAAGAAUAAGCACCGGCUAACUACGUGCCAGCAGCCGCGGUAAUACGUAGGGUGCGAGCGUUAAUCGGAAUUACUGGGCGUAAAGCGAGCGCAGACGGUUACUUAAGCAGGAUGUGAAAUCCCCGGGCUCAACCUGGGAACUGCGUUCUGAACUGGGUGACUAGAGUGUGUCAGAGGGAGGUAGAAUUCCACGUGUAGCAGUGAAAUGCGUAGAGAUGUGGAGGAAUACCGAUGGCGAAGGCAGCCUCCUGGGAUAACACUGACGUUCAUGCUCGAAAGCGUGGGUAGCAAACAGGAUUAGAUACCCUGGUAGUCCACGCCCUAAACGAUGUCAAUUAGCUGUUGGGCAACUUGGUUGUUCAGUAGCGUAGCUAACGCGUGAAAUUGACCGCCUGGGGAGUACGGUCGCAAGAUUA